UGUGUCAGCAUAAUGUCGUUGCAUACUGGCGCAACCUGAGUUGGCGAGUUCUGAAUAUCCCCUUAUUUUUCAUAGAGUGACUUCUCUACCUUCCUGACAUCUUUCCACACUGCCCCCUUACAUUUACUGCAGAGGCAUUUCACUGCCUCUUGUUUCAGCGUAAUGUUCGUGAGCAGUGUAUCCUGAUGUCAAAGAUAUUUUAUCGAUUGUCCCAUUUUAAAAUUACGUUCUUUUGCUUCUUAUUUACAUUUAUUCAUACAUUGUUUUGUGAUUUGUACCAAAGUCGUGCCAUUUUGUAUACCUACAACUCUUCUAUUUCAGACAUUGCUUUCACCGAACCCGGAUGACAUUUAUAUGUUAGAUUCUUUUUAUUUUGAUACCUCAUGACACCAACGCAAUCUCACAUCCAUUAUUACGUUUUCUGCAGAAGCAGUGUUCCAGCCUCUUGUACAGCAUAACGACUAAUGCCCAGAUUCCUCGGUGUCAACAGAAAGAUAAGUAUAUUUAUUGAUAACUUUUCCUACCCAUGAAUUUGUAUAAAUGGAUUUUCUACUUUUGUCUCUAAUAUUUUUUUUGUGUUAUUGAAGGUUUCACCUCGGCCCGACCCCCUCACCAGUUUCCUGCAGCAGCAAUCUACUGCCGCUUGUUCCAGUGUAACAGUCUGUCUCGACUCGGUGUUGACGCAUCACUCCUCCUCGAUUAUCCACUGCAGAAGCAAUUCCACUGCCUCUUGGUACAGCUUGACAUCGAAGAACAAUGAUGCCUCUCAACGAGGAUGAUCGACAUUACCUUUCGGUGAUUUGUUACUGCGACUUUUAAUCCUUUACGGCUCUCAAUGGUGUGAUCGCACAGAAUAUCACUACACACGCGUCCAGUGAAAAGAAAACUUGUACUUUGCUUUUUACGGUAUGCGUCUGCGAGUUCGUAGUAUCUCAAGAAUACUGAUAUUUUUGCCAUGGUUCCCUCUACCUUUUAUAUCCCUCGCGCCGACCCUCGCUCCCUCCUUCAUCCCUUGUCCUUGUCUAAAUCCCUACUCCGCAUCCCUUCUCCUUUAACCAUGUUAUCUCCUCCGUUUACCGUAACUUUGUCUCCUUCUGUCUUUCGACUGUAAUAUUUCAAUAUACCUAUAUCUCGUUUAUACAUUAUCUUUUUGUACUAUUUGUUGAUGUUCUCGCUAAAUCUUAAUUUCACAGUGUGUAUUGAAUGCAUCGAUGUUUGUAUGUGACUUGAAUAAACUUACUCCAGACUUAA
Molecule: long non-coding RNA, 1251 nt
Organism: Dufourea novaeangliae
Lineage: Eukaryota; Metazoa; Arthropoda; Insecta; Hymenoptera; Halictidae
Exons: 3
Source: RefSeq, a predicted model, not a curated record